Molecule: ribosomal RNA, 112 nt
Filed under: Caerostris darwini
Lineage: Eukaryota; Metazoa; Arthropoda; Arachnida; Araneae; Araneidae
Source: RNAcentral
AACGGCCGUACCAUGCUGAAUAUAUCGGUUCUCGUUAGAUCACCAAAGUUAAGCAUCAUUGGGCGCGGUCAGUACUUGGGUGGGUGACCACCUGGGAACACUGCGUGCCGUU